UGUCUCCUUCAUCCAUCAAGACCAUAUUUUGUCUAAAAUGGCAUUUCUAAAUCGUGUUUUCUUUUCAUUUUAUUCAAAUAAGUGAUUUUUCACAUAGAUUUGGUUUUUCUUUUGUCUUAUGUUUAUGAUUUUGUUAUCUAAGUGUGAUGAUGUUGUGUUGUAUGUCACAUUAGUAGACGUUUUAAUUUCACGUUUUGUUUCAAUGUUCGUGCGUUGAAAUUAAUGGAUUUUCUUCGUUUGAUGUCAUUAUAAAUUCAAGCAAUGAUUUUCACGUUUUCAACGUUAUGAAUUUGGAGACAUGGGUAUUUCAGACACAUUUAUUUUAUUACAUUUGGAACCAUCAUGUUGUUUUAGCUUACAAACUUGGAUGUUGUCAGUUUAUUUUAGCCAUCUUGAGAUUUGUAUUGUUCUCCAUCGAUGCAAUUUCUACCGAUUUCAAUGAAUAUAUACUAGUUUUAGUGAGAAAAAAAUGUAUUUAAAAGAGAAAAUAAUGAUUGAUAUAAGAUUUAUUUAAAUCAAAGACAAAUGGAGUAUGAGUUAAUAGAGAGAUAGGAGAAAAAAAGUCACUAAAUUAAACAAUGGAAAGAUAGGAAAUCCUUCAAAGUUUUGUGACAAGAAAAUUGAUUUUCUGACAUAGAAUAAUUUCUAUUGACAUAAAUAAAUGAUGUUUUUAUCCCCAGCGGUAGUUAACAACCGUUAGAUUAUGCGCCGACAGUUAACAACCGCUGGCUUCCAACGGAAGUUAACUGCCAUUGUGUUCGUGAUAUAUUCAAGUCAAUAGCCAUAAUCCAUACACUCAUUUCAUCAUCACCAUCACCAUCUUUCUCUCAAAUUUUCACUCUCUCUCUCUAAAAAAACUCUACCAAAUCAUCCAAAAAAAUUUCCAUUCAAUCACAAAUUUGAAACAAUGGCCGGGUGGAUCGACGUUCAUGCACAAUUCAAUGGUGGAGAACCUCAGAGGUUGGAGGUUCGGUGCCUUGGUGUAACGUUAUGAGGUCUCAAGGAUGAACUGACUGAAUUCAACCAAGGAGUCAACCCCAGAGACACAAGGAGGGUGGAACACGUUCGGUAUAAACGUCCAACACUCGAUGAGGGGAGAGUAUCAUUCACUUGGGUGGAAUUAACGAACGACGAAAACGUGACGAGCAUGUUUUCGGAGCACAACAUGUUCCAGUGGAUCGAUAUGCGGGUGACGUUGCUGAGAUCAACUGAAGAUAUCAUCAAAAGUUUGAUUCCGCCAGAAGAUCUUCAUUAGGUACCGAAUGAAUGCACCUUCCAGCUACAACAAUUGUCUUCCUCUGAAUGGGGUAAUUCAAACUUGCCAAAUAGCACGUCCAAUGUUUGACCGGCAUUCCCAUUGUUCCUUUCAAAAGAUUAAAUUCUUGUUAGGCCGGUUUAAAUGAAGGUAUUGAAAUGUCAAUGAAUGAACCUCAUUCUUUUGACACUUGAAUACAGUCAUUUAAACCAAACCUAACAAGAAUUUAAUCUUUUGAAUGGAACUAUGGGAAUGCCGGUCGUAUAUUGGAGUCCUGCUGCUUGGCAAGUUUGAAUUUACCCCAUUCAAAGGUAACACAAUUGGUGUAGUUGGAAGGUACAAACGUCAAACUGCAACAAUUGUCUUCUUUUGAAUGAGGUAAUUCAAACUUGUUAAACGGCAGGAAUCCAACAUUCGAUGAGCAUUUUGAAUUAUGGUAUUCAAGUGUCAAGGAAUGCACCUCAUUCUUUUGACACUUGAAUACCAUCAUUUAAAAUGUUCAUCGCAUCUGGAGUCCUGCUGUUUAGCAAGUUUGAAUUUGCCCAAUUCAAAGGUAAGAUAAUUGUUGCAGUUGGAAGGUACAUUCCGGAAUGUAAUGUAAUGUGAUAACAUAUAUAGUUGAAU
Molecule: long non-coding RNA, 1879 nt
Filed under: Medicago truncatula (barrel medic)
Lineage: Eukaryota; Viridiplantae; Streptophyta; Magnoliopsida; Fabales; Fabaceae
Description: lncRNA gene3154
Source: RNAcentral